This is a non-coding RNA of Podospora aff. communis PSN243, 146 nucleotides long. NCBI's taxonomy places the organism in Eukaryota, Fungi, Ascomycota, Sordariomycetes, Sordariales, Podosporaceae. The record is from the annotation of a GenBank genome assembly.
GCCCGGCUUGGUCAAGCGGUCUUGAGCGUUCGAGAUUUGAGAUUGGUUGAUCUACACUUACAACCCAACUUCCUUCCGAUCCACACCAUACCACAGUCUGUUUCCCUCAUAAUCUCAAAUUCCCAGUUCGAUUCUGGGGCGGGGCU